GGGCUUGACAUCCCACGAACCUGCCUGAAAGGGCGGGGUGCCCGCAAGGGAGCGUGGAGACAGGUGGUGCAUGGCUGUCGUCAGCUCGUGUCGUGAGAUGUUGGGUUAAGUCCCGCAACGAGCGCAACCCUCACCCCUAGUUGCCACCGGGUAAUGCCGAGCACUCGAGGGGAACUGCCAGCGUCAAGCUGGAGGAAGGCGGGGAUGACGUCAAGUCAUCAUGCCCCUUACGCCCUGGGCUACACACGUGCUACAAUGGCCAGUACAAAGGGAUGCGAGACCGCAAGGUGGAGCUAAUCCCAAAAAGCUGGUCUCAGUUCAGAUUGCAGUCUGCAACUCGACUGCGUGAAGGAGGAAUCGCUAGUAAUCGCGCAUCAGCACGGCGCGGUGAAUACGUUCCCGGGCCUUGUACACACCGCCCGUCACACCACGAAAGCUGGCUGUACUCGAAGUCGCUGAGA
RNAcentral lists this ribosomal RNA (461 nucleotides) under uncultured Methylomirabilota bacterium. RNAcentral describes it as "bacterial SSU rRNA". It matches the Rfam family "Bacterial small subunit ribosomal RNA", at positions 977 to 1435 of the family's 1533-position model. Lineage: Bacteria; Methylomirabilota (SeqCode). The record is from RNAcentral.